AGCCUUGUGGUGUAUAGCACAUAAGAUUGCAAAUCUUCGAGAGCAAGAUGACUUCUGCCGGGGCUU
Molecule: transfer RNA, 66 nt
Filed under: Eurycea chamberlaini (Chamberlain's dwarf salamander)
Lineage: Eukaryota; Metazoa; Chordata; Amphibia; Caudata; Plethodontidae
Description: tRNA-Cys
Source: RNAcentral